RNAcentral lists this non-coding RNA (45 nucleotides) under Schistosoma margrebowiei. Lineage: Eukaryota; Metazoa; Platyhelminthes; Trematoda; Strigeidida; Schistosomatidae. The record is from RNAcentral.
AUCCAGCUGACGAGUCUCAAAUAGGGCGAAACGCGCAUUCCAGAU